This 1176-nucleotide long non-coding RNA is filed under the name Pan troglodytes (chimpanzee). RNAcentral's name for it is "long non-coding RNA NONPTRT013996". The record is from RNAcentral. Lineage: Eukaryota; Metazoa; Chordata; Mammalia; Primates; Hominidae.
AAAAGAAUGAAUUUCAGAGUCUGAAGAUCAGUCUUUCAAAUUAUCUGAGUCAGACAAAAAUUUUAAAAAAAUUUAAAAAUGAUACAAUAAUAGUAGGGGGCUUCAACACUCUACUGACAGCACUAGAUAGAUCAUUGAGGCAGACAACUAACAAAGAAACUCUGGACUUAAAUUGGACUUUUGACCAAAUGGACCUACCAGACAUCUACAGAAUAAUCCACCCAACAACCACAGGAUAUACAUUCUCAUCUGUGCAUGGAACAUUUUCUAAAAUUGACCACAUGCUUCAUCAUAAAGCAAGUCCCAAUAAAUUCAAAAUAACUGAAAUCAUAUAAAGCAUCUUCUGGGACCACAGUGGAAUUAAAUUAGAAAUAAAUAUCAAGAGGAACUCUCAAAACCAUACAAGUACACGGAAACUAAAAAGUCUUGUUUCCGAAGAACUUUGGGUAAACAACAAAGUUAAGAUGGAAAUAAGAAAAAUUUUUGACACAAAUAAAAAUAGAGAGAAAACAUACCCGAACCUCUGGAAUACAGCAAAAGCAGUGGUAAGAGGAAAGUUUGUAGUAAUAAAUGCCUACAUCAGAAAGAUACAAAGGUCCCCAAUUAACAACCUAACAUGACACCCAAAACAAGCAAAACAAGAACAAACCAAACCUAAAGUUAGCAGAAGAAAAGAAAUAACAAAGGUUAGAGCAGAACUAAAUGAAAUUUAGAGCAAAAAAAUUAUGCAAAGGAUCAACAAAAUGAACAGUUGUUUCUUCAAAAGGAUAAACAGAAUUGAUAGACCAGCAGCUAGAUUAACCAAGAAAAAAAGAGAGAAGGUUCAAAUAAGCACAAUAUCAAAUGACCAGGGUGACAUUACAACUGAAACUACAAAAGAUCAAAAGGAAUACAAAAGUUCCUCAGAGACUAUUAUGAACAUCUCCAUGCACACAAAUUAGAAAAUGCAGAGGAAACAGAUAAUUUCCUGGAAACACGCAACCUUCCAAGACUGAACCAGGAAGCCAUAAAAAGAAUGAAACCAUGUUCUUUGCAGCAACACGGAUGCAGCUAGAGGCAAUUAUCUUAAGUGAACUAAUGAAGAAACAGAAAACCACAUACCACAUGUUCUCACUUAUAAGUGGGAGCAAUAUAAUAGCUACACAUGGUCAUAUAGGUGGGAACAACAGACAACAG